GUCCACGCCCUAAACGAUGAGAGCUAAACGUCGGGUUUUCGGAUUCGGUGUUGGAGCUAACGCAUUAAGCUCUCCGCCUGGGGAGUACGGUCGCAAGAUUAAAACUCAAAGGAAUUGACGGGGGCCCGCACAAGUGGUGGAGCAUGUGGUUUAAUUCGAAGCAACGCGCAGAACCUUACCAACCCUUGACAUAGGUGUCGCGGAUGAUAGAGAUAUCGUCUUUCAGUUUGGCUGGACACAUUACAGGUGCUGCAUGGCU
This 259-nucleotide ribosomal RNA is filed under the name uncultured bacterium. Its description in RNAcentral is "partial 16S ribosomal RNA". It matches the Rfam family "Bacterial small subunit ribosomal RNA", at positions 793 to 1050 of the family's 1533-position model. The record is from RNAcentral.